This 449-nucleotide ribosomal RNA is filed under the name uncultured bacterium. RNAcentral's name for it is "bacterial SSU rRNA". It matches the Rfam family "Bacterial small subunit ribosomal RNA", at positions 355 to 825 of the family's 1533-position model. The record is from RNAcentral.
UUAGGAAUCUUCCGCAAUGGGCGAAAGCCUGACGCAGCGACGCCGCGUGUGGGAUGAAGGUCUUCGGAUUGUAAACCACUGUCGGGAGGGACGAAGCUCUGACGGUACCUCCAAAGGAAGCACCGGCUAACUCUGUGCCAGCAGCCGCGGUAAUACAGAGGGUGCGAGCGUUGUCCGGAAUCACUGGGCGUAAAGGGCGCGUAGGCGGCCUGGUAAGUAGGGGGUGAAAUCUCAUGGCUCAACUGUGAGGCUGCCUUCUAGACUGCUGGGCUUGAGCACGGUAGAGGCUGGUGGAAUUCCCGGUGUAGCGGUGGAAUGCGUAGAGAUCGGGAGGAACAUCGGUGGCGAAGGCGGCCAGCUGGACCGGUUCUGACGCUGAGGCUCGAAAGCGUGGGGAGCAAACAGGAUUAGAUACCCGAGUAGUCCCUGAGCGGGCUGGCAAGGCGCAU